GCAGCCUCUAUGAGUUUACUUUAUUAUGUUUACUUUACUUUAUUUACUUUAGUUUAGUUUAGUUUAGUUUAUUUAGUUUAGUUUAGUUUAGUUUAGUUUAUUUAGUUUAGUUUAGUUUAGUUUAGUUUAUUUAGUUUAGUUUAGUUUAGUUUAGUUUAGUUUAGUUUAGUUUGGGAGGAGCGAGCCGGAGAUCACUGCAGCUACACCGCAGAGAUGACAGAAGAAGAAGAACUGAGUGUUUCUGUUGGUUUUUAUUGAUGCACAGAUUUAAAGGCAGCUGGAUGAAAAUGUGCUGAGUGUGUGUGCAGCUUCACUCAGCUUCAGGUUUGAGUUUCACAAAGCAGACAGGAGCUAUAAAUGUCAGGGGGCGGGGCUUGUUGGAGGGCAGACGGCGCUGACGGACGGCAGCAGCUGGAGGUCAGCCGUGUGCUCGAGUCAUCAGAGGAAGAGAAGAAGAAGAAGAAGGAGAAGAAGAAGAAGAAGAGGCCAAAUCUCUGCAGCAGAAACACUGUAAAAAAGUCUGUAACAGCAAACAAAUAUGAAAUAAUGAAUCCAAGAACGGACAGAAGAGAAACAUUCUGAUGACAGGAGAGGAAGAGGAGGACGACGGGAGAAAGAGGAAGAAGAAGAAGAAGAGAUGAAAACAGACGAGAGGAGAAAUUCAUAAAGUAAAAAUCUGAAUGAAAAUCUGUCUUCAGGUGAUCGAUCACUGAUCACUGAUCACUGAUCACUGAUCACUGAUCAGUGAUCAGUGUAUUGAUGCGACCUUGCUGUGACCUCGCUGUGAACGUGGACUCGGCUCCUCUGCGACCCCUCCUGACUUCAGAUCAGAGCCACAUUUAGCCUCAGCUGCACUUUACUGCUGACAGCUGCUCUCAGAUCAGUUGAAUGUCUGCACGUCUCAACAAGAUGACGGUGCAGAAAGUUUGUGAUCUGCCUCCAUUAAUCACAUUAAUCAUGAGUGGGUCAUUAAUGAGGAACUUUGUGUUGUUUUAUAAAUAAUAUUCUCUCUAUUUGUGUUGAACAUCAUCUCUCCAUAUGUUCUUCAGACUGAUAUCAUUAUACUUGCAGUGUUUAGCUUCACCAGUCUGCUGAUACUGAUGUUAAUUAUUCAUUUAAGAUCACACUAACAUCUUUAAUUUGCCAUCAAUUUAAAAUUCCGUACUUUUUAAAUGCAGUCUGGUUUUGUGCACUUGGUUGAGUUUGUUACAGCAGUUAAAGUUACGAGACGUGUGAAGAAUAUAAAUGAUGUGUUCACGCUUCAGGUUUCUUUGUUUUGCACCUGUUUGUAUAAAACGCUCUGUAUUAAUAAAGUGUUGUUAUAAUUUAGUUUAUGAUUCUCUGGAGGUUAAAUUCUGAACACAGUUAAAGAAUCUUUGACAGGAACAACGUCACAUUUUAACACGUUUGUUCAUGUUGUUGUGUUUGUUUGUGUAAUGAACCAGUGAACUCGUGCUGACGGCUGAAGAGCCUGAAAGUCACUUCAGCUCCUGAAUCUACCAACAAACCUCCUGCAGCUUUUAUGACUCUCUGUGUUUUCACAGGCUGCAGGUUUAGUUUGCACUCAUUCAUUUAAACAUUUAAACCUUUUGGAUGAAUUAAAAAUAUCAAAAAUGUGUGUUUGUUGAAAGAAAUGCUGAUUUUCUGCACAAUCUGGUGUUUUUUAAUCAGAAUAUUUGCAUCAGUAACUUGUUGUUGUCACACGUGAGGACGAUGUUACGACGUCGUCACAGCUGAGCAGGAAGUGACUUCAAACAGGAAGUACCGAAAAAAUCAGCCGAUCAAAUGUUUCAAAUCAGGAAAACAUAAACUUUUAUAUUUAAAACGUGUAAUAAUCAGUUAUUUACUGUCAUAGUUUACUUUUCUGUCUGAAAAGAUUUAAUCAGAGUCAUUAAAGCUGGAAA
Molecule: long non-coding RNA, 1904 nt
Filed under: Sparus aurata (gilthead seabream)
Lineage: Eukaryota; Metazoa; Chordata; Actinopteri; Spariformes; Sparidae
Description: lncRNA (ENSSAUG00010001327.1)
Source: RNAcentral